RNAcentral lists this transfer RNA (85 nucleotides) under Micromonospora sp. C51. RNAcentral's name for it is "tRNA-Tyr". It matches the Rfam family "tRNA". From Rfam's summary of the family: Transfer RNA (tRNA) molecules are approximately 80 nucleotides in length. Their secondary structure includes four short double-helical elements and three loops (D, anti-codon, and T loops). Lineage: Bacteria; Bacillati; Actinomycetota; Actinomycetes; Micromonosporales; Micromonosporaceae. The record is from RNAcentral.
GCGGGUGCGCCACCGAUGGCGAGGUGGGGCGGCCUGUAAAGCCGUUGCGUUCAACGCUCAGGGGGUUCGAAUCCCUCCACCCGUA